GGUUAAGCGACUAAGCGUACACGGUGGAUGCCCUGGCAGUCAGAGGCGAUGAAGGGCGUGCUAAUCUGCGAUAAGCGCCGGUAAGGUGAUAUGAACCGUUAUAACCGGCGAUACCCGAAUGGGGAAACCCAGUGUGAUUCGUCACACUAUCAUUAACUGAAUCCAUAGGUUAAUGAGGCGAACCGGGGGAACUGAAACAUCUAAGUACCCCGAGGAAAAGAAAUCAACCGAGAUUCCCCCAGUAGCGGCGAGCGAACGGGGAAGAGCCCAGAGCCUGAAUCAGCAUGUGUGUUAGUGGAAGCGUCUGGAAAGGCGCGCGAUACAGGGUGACAGCCCCGUACACAAAAGCGCAUGUGCUGUGAGCUCGAUGAGUAGGGCGGGACACGUGGUAUCCUGUCUGAAUAUGGGGGGACCAUCCUCCAAGGCUAAAUACUCCUGACUGACCGAUAGUGAACCAGUACCGUGAGGGAAAGGCGAAAAGAACCCCGGCGAGGGGAGUGAAAAAGAACCUGAAACCGUGUACGUACAAGCAGUGGGAGCACCCUUUGGGGUGUGACUGCGUACCUUUUGUAUAAUGGGUCAGCGACUUAUAUUCUGUAGCAAGGUUAACCGAAUAGGGGAGCCGGAGGGAAACCGAGUCUUAACCGGGCGUUAAGUUGCAGGGUAUAGACCCGAAACCCGGUGAUCUAGCCAUGGGCAGGUUGAAGGUUGGGUAACACUAACUGGAGGACCGAACCGACUAAUGUUGAAAAAUUAGCGGAUGACCUGUGGCUGGGGGUGAAAGGCCAAUCAAACCGGGAGAUAGCUGGUUCUCCCCGAAAGCUAUUUAGGUAGCGCCUCGUGAAUUCAUCUCCGGGGGUAGAGCACUGUUUCGGCUAGGGGGCCAUCCCGGCUUACCAACCCGAUGCAAACUGCGAAUACCGGAGAAUGUUAUCACGGGAGACACACGGCGGGUGCUAACGUCCGUCGUGAAGAGGGAAACAACCCAGACCGCCAGCUAAGGUCCCAAAGUCAUGGUUAAGUGGGAAACGAUGUGGGAAGGCCCAGACAGCCAGGAUGUUGGCUUAGAAGCAGCCAUCAUUUAAAGAAAGCGUAAUAGCUCACUGGUCGAGUCGGCCUGCGCGGAAGAUGUAACGGGGCUAAACCAU
This 1148-nucleotide ribosomal RNA is filed under the name Salmonella enterica. Its description in RNAcentral is "partial 23S ribosomal RNA". It matches the Rfam family "Bacterial large subunit ribosomal RNA", at positions 1 to 1190 of the family's 2925-position model. The record is from RNAcentral. Lineage: Bacteria; Pseudomonadati; Pseudomonadota; Gammaproteobacteria; Enterobacterales; Enterobacteriaceae.